AUGGAAGAAAAGCUGUCUAGUAUGCGACAAGAUGUCAUUCAGGAAUUUGUGGCGCUUUAUCAAAGAAUAGGGCCUUAUCUACCAAUUGAGCCCUACUUGGUCGAUGAAGCGCUUCGUUCCUAUCUGGACCAUAUUCACGCAACUGAUUCUUUCACUGUUCUCCAAGCGUCUUAUCAAGAUCUGCGGGAGAAUGAGGGAGGAUCUGUUUUCUUUAGAGAUGAUGUUUCCCACAACCGGGAUCUCCUUGAGGCGGAAAGCUCCGCAAGGAGGUGCCUGGAAGUGGAACAAAGGAUCUGA
This 297-nucleotide ribosomal RNA is filed under the name Triticum aestivum (bread wheat). RNAcentral describes it as "partial small subunit ribosomal RNA". Lineage: Eukaryota; Viridiplantae; Streptophyta; Magnoliopsida; Poales; Poaceae. The record is from RNAcentral.